RNAcentral lists this microRNA precursor (279 nucleotides) under Medicago truncatula (barrel medic). Its description in RNAcentral is "MIR2655 microRNA precursor family". It matches the Rfam family "MIR2655 microRNA precursor family". Lineage: Eukaryota; Viridiplantae; Streptophyta; Magnoliopsida; Fabales; Fabaceae. The record is from Rfam by way of RNAcentral.
CCCUUAACUAUUAAAAGCUUCGUUUUGGUCCGUUAACUUACUUUUUGGUUUCGUUUUGGUCCCUUAACUCAUCCUCCGUCAACCUCUUUGAUCCUUUAUGUUAGGAUGAAUGUAUUAGAGUUAAGGGACCAAAAUGAAACAAAAAAAUAAGUUAAGGGACCAAAACGAAAUCAAAAAAUAAGUUAAGGGACCAAAACGAAACUUUUAAUAGUUAAGGGACCAAAAGAAAACCCAAAAAUAAGUUAUGGGACCGAAACGAAACUUUUAAUAGUUAAGGUA